RNAcentral lists this ribosomal RNA (253 nucleotides) under uncultured prokaryote. Its description in RNAcentral is "partial 16S ribosomal RNA". It matches the Rfam family "Bacterial small subunit ribosomal RNA", at positions 525 to 777 of the family's 1533-position model. The record is from RNAcentral.
ACAGAGGGUGCGAGCGUUGUUCGGAAUUAUUGGGCGUAAAGCGCGUGUAGGCGGCUUAUCAAGUCGGGUGUGAAAGCCCUCAGCUUAACUGAGGAAGUGCGCCCGAAACUGGUGAGCUUGAGUGCCGGAGAGGAUGGCGGAAUACCCCAAGUAGAGGCGAAAUUCGUAGAUAUGGGGUGGAACACCGGUGGCGAAGGCGGCCAUCUGGACGGUAACUGACGCUGAUGCGCGAAAGCGUGGGGAGCAAACGGGA